This 72-nucleotide transfer RNA is filed under the name Camelus bactrianus (Bactrian camel). It matches the Rfam family "tRNA". Rfam says of the family: Transfer RNA (tRNA) molecules are approximately 80 nucleotides in length. Their secondary structure includes four short double-helical elements and three loops (D, anti-codon, and T loops). The record is from Rfam by way of RNAcentral. Lineage: Eukaryota; Metazoa; Chordata; Mammalia; Artiodactyla; Camelidae. RNAcentral also lists the same sequence under 1 other name.
GGAUACGUAGCUCAGUGGUAGAGUAAGUGCUUAUCAUGCACAAGGUCCUGGGUUCAAUUCCCAGUACUUCCC